GGAGAGUUGGCCGAGUGGUCGAAGGCACCCGUCCUGAAAACGGGAGGGCGAACAGCCCCGAGGGUUCGAAUCCCCCACUCUCCG
This 84-nucleotide transfer RNA is filed under the name Sphaerochaeta sp. RNAcentral's name for it is "tRNA-Ser". It matches the Rfam family "tRNA". From Rfam's summary of the family: Transfer RNA (tRNA) molecules are approximately 80 nucleotides in length. Lineage: Bacteria; Pseudomonadati; Spirochaetota; Spirochaetia; Spirochaetales; Sphaerochaetaceae. The record is from RNAcentral.